This 75-nucleotide transfer RNA is filed under the name Pseudoalteromonas distincta. Its description in RNAcentral is "tRNA-Thr". It matches the Rfam family "tRNA". From Rfam's summary of the family: Transfer RNA (tRNA) molecules are approximately 80 nucleotides in length. Their secondary structure includes four short double-helical elements and three loops (D, anti-codon, and T loops). RNAcentral also lists the same sequence under 4 other names. The record is from RNAcentral. Lineage: Bacteria; Pseudomonadati; Pseudomonadota; Gammaproteobacteria; Alteromonadales; Pseudoalteromonadaceae.
GCCGCCGUAGCUCAGUGGUAGAGCGCAUCCUUGGUAAGGCUGAGGUCUCGGGUUCGAGUCCCGACGGCGGCACCA